Molecule: long non-coding RNA, 3602 nt
Filed under: Homo sapiens (human)
Lineage: Eukaryota; Metazoa; Chordata; Mammalia; Primates; Hominidae
Description: HSALNT0239598
Source: RNAcentral
CCUGGCCAUGGGCCUGGCAGCUGCUGCCCUGACUGCUCACCUGGCUCUGACAAUCAGAAUAAUGGGGAUUUAUUGUCCCUUCUCUCUGCUAAUCCUAGAGAUGAGGGAUGAGCAUCUGGAAAAGCUCGUUUGGGGUUGGUAAUGACCUCCAGGAGGGAAUUCUCACACAACUUCUACCAUGCCCCCACUCAUACACCUACCUGUCCCUACAUAUCCAAAGCUCUGAAUUCGACUCUGACCCAGAUGCUACAACUAUCUUCUUUAAUCCAGGUGCAUUUCUGUCCAGGCAACCUCAAGCACAAAGGCGUAGAAGAGAAGAGAAGCAACAUGCCCUUGGAGUCCACAGAAUAUGGAAACUAGCCUGACUGGAGUUGAAGGUCUCUUGAGGAUUUAUGUAGUAGGUUAUGCUGUUGCAAGAAGUGAGCUCCCACAGCCUUGGGCAGCUCCAUCACUGUGGCUUUGCAGGUACAGCUAUCCUCCUGGCUGCUUUAAUGGCUGGCAUUGAGUGUCUGUGGCUUUUCCAGGUGCACGAUGCAAGCUGUAAGUGGAUCGACCAUUCUGGAGGGGUCUGGGGUCUGGAGGAUCGUGGUCCUCUUCUCACAGCUCCACUAGGCAGUGCCCCAUUGGAAACUUUGUGUGGGGGGUCUAACCUCACACUUCCCUUCUGCACUGCCUGAGCAGAGGUUCUCCAUGAGGGCUCUGUCCCUGCAGCACACCUCUGCCUGGACAUCUAGGCAUUUCCAUACAUCUAGGAGGAGGUUCCCAAAUCUCAAUUCUUGUCUUCUGUGCACCCACAGGACCAACACCACAUGGAAGCUGUCAAGGCUUGGGGCUUGUACCCUCUGAAGCAAUGGCCUGAGCUGUACCUUGGCUCCUUUUAACCAUGGCUGGAGCUGAAGCAGCUGGUAUGCAGGGCACCAUGUCCAGAGGCUGCACACUGAAGGGGGGGUCUUGGACCCAGCCCAUGAAAGCAUUUUUCCUCCUAGACCUCCCAGCCUGUGAUGGGAGUGGCUGCCACAAACGUCUCUGAUACACCCUGGAGACAUUUUCCCUGUUGUCUUGGUGAUUAACAUUUGGCUCCUCAUUACUUAUGCAAAUUUCUGCAGCUGGCUUGAAUUUCUCCCCAGAAGAUGGGUUUUUCUUUUCUACUGCAUGGUCAGGCUGCAAAUUUUCCAAACUUUUAUACUCUGUCACCUCUCCAGUGCUUUGCUGCUUAGAAAUUUCUUCCACCAGGUACCCUAAAUCAUCUCUCUCAAGUUUAAAAUUCCACAGAUCUCUAGGGCAGGGACAAAAUGCCACCAGUCUCUUUGCAAAAAGCAUAACAAGAGUGACCUUGGCUCCAGUUCCUAAGUUCCUCAUCUCCAUCUGAGACCACCUCAGCCUGGACUUUAUUGUCCAUAACGCUAUCAGUAUUUUGGUCAAAGCCAUUCAACAAGACUCUAGGAAGUUCCAAACUUUCCCACAUUUUCAUGUCUUCUGAGCCCUCCAAGUCUCUAGGAAGCUCCAAACUUUCCCACAUUUUCCUAUCUUCUUCAGAGCCCUCCAAACUGUUUCAACCUCUGCCUGUUACUCAGUUCCAAAGUUGCCUCCACAUCUGUGGGUAUCUUUACAGUAGCACCCUACUCCUGGUACCAAUUUACAGUAUUAAUCAGGGUUCUCUAGAGGAACAGAACUAAUAGGAUAGAUGUAUAUAUGAAGGAGAGUUUAUUAAGGAGCAUUGACUCAGACAAUCACAAGGUGAAGUCCCACAAUAGGCUAUCUGCAAGCUGAGGAUCAAGGAAGCCAGUCUGAGUUCCAAAAUCUCAAAAGUAGGGAAGCUAACAGUACAGCCUUCAGUCUGUUGCCAAAGGCCUGAGAGCCCCUGGCUGACCACUGGUGUAAGUCCAAGAGUCCAAAAGCUGAAGAACUUUGAGUCUGAUGUUCAAGGGCAGGAAGCAUCCAGCAUGGGAGAAAGAUAAAGGCUGGAAGACUCAGCAAGGCAAGUCCUUCCAGCUUCUUCCUGCCUUAUUCUAGCCAUGCUGGCAGCUGACUAGAUGGCGCCCACUCAGAUUGAAGGUUGGUCUGCCUCUCCCAGUCCACUGACUCAAAUGUUAAUCUCCUUUGGCAACACCUUGACACACAUACCCAGGAACAAUACUUUGCAUCCUUCAAUCCGAUCAAGUUGACACUCAAUAUUAACCAUCAUGCCUGCUGUUCUUGCAUAUGGUGUUCCAGCACUCAUUCCUCAAUUUUCUAGUGAUAGAGCCCAAUGUCUCCUUUUUGUGGCCCACUGCUCUUCUACUCUUAGUCCAUGGACUUUGUCUAUGCUAAUCACACUGCCUAGGUCCAGUGAUGAGUGUGUGAUCCAGCCUGACCCAUCAGCAUAGUUCAACCUAGCUCCAGUUGUUGGUUUAGGAAUGAGCAUCUGACACCAGUGGGAUAAAUUCAAUCAAUGACAAGGCUCUUAAUGUAAUUAUUAGGGAAGUGUCACUGUCUUUCUCGUGUGGAAACUGCUGCAGUGAAGUGCUAGCCCGCAGCUGCCAGCAGCAACCUCUGUCUUCUCAUGAGCAGAGCCUGAGAAUGAAGCCAACACAGAGGAUACCAGACCCAAGAGAUGGAGAGGGACAUUUGAGCCCCUAAAUCUAGAUCUGCCUGGAUGCUUCAAUCUUUGCACCAAUACAUUUCCUUUCUCUCAAACCACUUUGAGUUGUGUUUUCAUUGCCAGAGAUGGAAAGAAUCCUGACUAAUGUACAUACAGAGGUGAAUGAGUUCCAUGCCUAAAUGCUUGACUGGAGAUUGAUCCUGGACCAUUACACUCAUGGAGAACUGUGAGCUCUGUUAAAACUCUUCAAAAGUUUCCUGUUGCUGUCAGGAUAUAACCUCAACUCCUUAACCAUGGUUUUAGAGCCUUCAAUGAUCAGGACCUUGCUGAUCUCUGGCCUCAUCCUGAAGCACUUUUCCUCCCAAUUUAUAUUCUGGCCACACUGGAUUUUCAGUUUCUAGAAUGUACCAUUGUCUCCUGCUUCUGGAAUUUGUCCUCUUCCUUGAGCAUGCUUCACCUACCUAAGUCCUACGAUUCCUUCAAUAUCAGCUUAAAACUCACCCCAUCACUGCCAGGGCUCCACAGCAGUUCCACCUUCUAACACUCAGCACACUUGCAGCCAGGCGUUCAAUGCCUGCCCCUAUCCCAGAAUAUAAGGCCCCGCGAGAGUCAGAUCCGUGCUGCUCUAAUCUCCACGCUAUCACUAGGACAUGAAUAGAGACCCAACAAAUAAAUAUUUGUUGAAUACCUGAAUGAGAUAAAUAAUGCAGGCAACCCUAAGUACGUGGAAGUGGAGGAGAUCUAAAUUAGGGCUGAGAUCUGUGGGUCAGCCAGCUAGGCAUGAGAUGAUCAACGCCCAGGCCAAGGUGGUAACUUUAGUAAGAGAAAGGCACAGGGAAGGGAAAGGAAGGAAAAUCUAUGUGGAAACUGAGAACAGAAGAACCAAAAUAAUUUGACCGGCUUUGACCAAAGCUAGAAAAAGAAUCUUUAAAGAGACACCCAAGCCCAUGAACCAAGUGCAUAAGAGGAAUGUGCAGCUAUUGGCAGGGGCAGGGUCACUGCUUCAGGACACAGUUAUGCU